GAUGAAGAACGUAGCGAAAUGCGAUACUUGGUGUGAAUUGCAGAAUCCCGUGAACCAUCGAGUCUUUGAACGCAAGUUGCGACCGAAGCCAUUAGGCCGAGGGCACGCCUGCCUGGGCGUCACACGUCGUUGCCCCCCCAUCUACUCCUUCGGGAUUGCGGGGGGCGGAUGAUGGCCUCCCGUGCGCCUCGCCGCGCGGUUGGCAUAAAUGCCAAGUCCUCGGCGACGCACGCCACGACAAUCGGUGGUUGCGAAACCUCGGUUGCCCGUCGUGUGCGGUCGUCGCGCAUCGAGGGCUCGAAAAAAUUGCCGGGUUCCGGCUCGGCUUUCAACGCGACCCCAGGUCAGGCGGGGUUACCCGCUGAAUUUAAGCAUAUCAAUAAGCGGAGGA
This 391-nucleotide unclassified non-coding RNA is filed under the name soil metagenome. Its description in RNAcentral is "partial contains 5.8S ribosomal RNA, internal transcribed spacer 2, and large subunit ribosomal RNA". The stretch from base 1 to 122 matches the Rfam family "5.8S ribosomal RNA", at positions 35 to 154 of the family's 154-position model. The record is from RNAcentral.